RNAcentral lists this ribosomal RNA (253 nucleotides) under uncultured bacterium. RNAcentral's name for it is "partial 16S ribosomal RNA". It matches the Rfam family "Bacterial small subunit ribosomal RNA", at positions 524 to 776 of the family's 1533-position model. The record is from RNAcentral.
UACGGAGGGUGCAAGCGUUAUCCGGAUUCACUGGGUUUAAAGGGUGUGUAGGCGGGUAUUUAAGUCAGUGGUGAAAUCUCCAGGCUCAACCUGGAAACUACCAUUGAUACUAUUUAUCUUGAAUUUUGUUGAGGUAGGCGGAAUAUGUCAUGUAGCGGUGAAAUGCUUAGAUAUGACAUAGAACACCGAUUGCGAAGGCAGCUUACUAAGCAAACAUUGACGCUGAGGCAUGAAAGCGUGGGGAUCAAACAGG